Molecule: ribosomal RNA, 468 nt
Filed under: uncultured bacterium
Lineage: Bacteria
Description: partial 16S ribosomal RNA
Rfam family: Bacterial small subunit ribosomal RNA
Source: RNAcentral
GACGAACGCUGGCGGCGUGCUUAACACAUGCAAGUCGAACGGAAAGGCCCUGCUUUUGUGGGGUGCUCGAGUGGCGAACGGGUGAGUAACACGUGAGUAACCUGCCCUUGACUAUGGGAUAACUUCAGGAAACUGGGGCUAAUACCGGAUAGGAGCUCCUGCUGCAUGGUGGGGGUUGGAAAGUUUCGGCGGUUGGGGAUGGACUCGCGGCUUAUGAGCUUGUUGGUGGGGUAGUGGCUUACCAAGGCUUUGACGGGUAGCCGGCCUGAGAGGGUGACCGUCCACAUUGGGACUGAGAUAGGGCCCCGACUCCUACGGGAGCCAGCAGUGGGGAAUAUUGCACAAUGGGCGGAAGCCUGAUGCAGCAGCGCCGCGUGCGGGAUGACGGCCUUCGGGUUGUAAACCGCUUUCGCCUGUGACGAAGCGUGAGUGACGGUAAUGGGUAAAGAAGCACCGGCUAACUACGUG